Molecule: ribosomal RNA, 2457 nt
Filed under: Morganella morganii
Lineage: Bacteria; Pseudomonadati; Pseudomonadota; Gammaproteobacteria; Enterobacterales; Morganellaceae
Description: bacterial LSU rRNA
Rfam family: Bacterial large subunit ribosomal RNA
Source: RNAcentral
GGUUAAGCGAAUAAGCGUACACGGUGGAUGCCUAGGCAGUCAGAGGCGACGAAGGACGUGCUAAUCUGCGAUAAGCGCCGGUAAGGUGAUAUGAACCGUUAUAACCGGCGAUUUCCGAAUGGGGAAACCCAGUGCAAUUCGUUGCACUAUCAUUACCUGAAUACAUAGGGUAAUGAAGCGAACCGGGAGAACUGAAACAUCUAAGUACCCCGAGGAAAAGAAAUCAAACGAGAUUCCCCCAGUAGCGGCGAGCGAACGGGGAGCAGCCCAGGACCUUAAUCAGCAUCAGUGUUAAGAGAACAGUCUGGAAAGGCUGGCCACAGCAGGUGAUAGCCCUGUAUCUGAAAGCACUGGUGUUGUGAGUCCGAUGAGUAAGGCGGGACACGUGUUAUCCUGUCUGAAUACGGGGGGACCAUCCUCCAAGGCUAAAUACUCCUGACUGACCGAUAGUGAACCAGUACCGUGAGGGAAAGGCGAAAAGAACCCCGGCGAGGGGAGUGAAAAAGAACCUGAAACCGUGUACGUACAAGCAGUGGGAGCACCUUUAUGGUGUGACUGCGUACCUUUUGUAUAAUGGGUCAGCGACUUAUAUUCUGUAGCAAGGUUAACCGAAUAGGGGAGCCGCAGGGAAACCGAGUCUUAACUGGGCGAACUAGUUGCAGGGUAUAGACCCGAAACCCGGUGAUCUAGCCAUGGGCAGGUUGAAGGUUGGGUAACACUAACUGGAGGACCGAACCGACUAAUGUUGAAAAAUUAGCGGAUGACUUGUGGCUGGGGGUGAAAGGCCAAUCAAACCGGGAGAUAGCUGGUUCUCCCCGAAAGCUAUUUAGGUAGCGCCUCGUGAACUCAUCUCCGGGGGUAGAGCACUGUUUCGGCUAGGGGGUCAUCCCGACUUACCAACCCGAUGCAAACUGCGAAUACCGGAGAAUGUUAUCACGGGAGACACACGGCGGGUGCUAACGUUCGUCGUGAAGAGGGAAACAACCCAGACCGCCGGCUAAGGUCCCAAAGUCAUAAUUAAGUGGGAAACGAAGUGGGAAGGCUCAGACAGCCAGGAUGUUGGCUUAGAAGCAGCCAUCAUUUAAAGAAAGCGUAAUAGCUCACUGGUCGAGUCGGCCUGCGCGGAAGAUGUAACGGGGCUAAAUUAUGCACCGAAGCCGCGGCAGCGAUAUGUAAAUAUUGUUGGGUAGGGGAGCGUUCUGUAAGCCUGUGAAGGUGACCUGUGAGGGUUGCUGGAGGUAUCAGAAGUGCGAAUGCUGACAUAAGUAACGAUAAUGCGGGUGAAAAACCCGCACGCCGGAAGACCAAGGGUUCCUGUCCAACGUUAAUCGGGGCAGGGUGAGUCGACCCCUAAGGCGAGGCUGAAAAGCGUAGUCGAUGGGCAACGGGUUAAUAUUCCCGUACUGGUGGUAACUGCGAAGGGGGGACGGAGAAAGCUAAAUCAUCCGGGCGACGGUUGUCCCGGUUUAAGCGUGCAGGUGGACUGACCAGGCAAAUCCGGUCGGUUGUUAACACUGAGGCGUGACGACGAGCCACUACGGUGGUGAAGUGAUUGAUGCUCUGCUUCCGGGAAAAGCCUCUAAGCUCCAGGUUACCAUUAAUCGUACCUCAAACCGACACAGGUGGUCAGGUAGAGAAUACUCAGGCGCUUGAGAGAACUCGGGUGAAGGAACUAGGCAAAAUGGUGCCGUAACUUCGGGAGAAGGCACGCUGGCAUUAGGUGAAGUGGUUUACCCACGGAGCUGAAGCCAGCCGCAGAUACCAGCUGGCUGCAACUGUUUAUUAAAAACACAGCACUGUGCAAACACGAAAGUGGACGUAUACGGUGUGACGCCUGCCCGGUGCCGGAAGGUUAAUUGAUGAGGUCAGCCGCAAGGCGAAGCUUCUGAUCGAAGCCCCGGUAAACGGCGGCCGUAACUAUAACGGUCCUAAGGUAGCGAAAUUCUUUGUCGGGUAAGUUCCGACCUGCACGAAUGGCGUAAUGAUGGCCAGGCUGUCUCCACCCGAGACUCAGUGAAAUUGAACUCGCUGUGAAGAUGCAGUGUACCCGCGGCAAGACGGAAAGACCCCGUGAACCUUUACUAUAGCUUGACACUGAACAUUGAGCCUUGAUGUGUAGGAUAGGUGGGAGGCAACGAAGUGUGGACGCCAGUCUGCACGGAGCCAUCCUUGAAAUACCACCCUUUAACGUUUGAUGUUCUAACCCGGGUCCAUAAUCUGGAUCGGGGACCGUGUCUGGUGGGUAGUUUGACUGGGGCGGUCUCCUCCCAAAGAGUAACGGAGGAGCACGAAGGUUGGCUAAGCAUGGUCGGACAUCAUGCGGUUAGUGCAAAGGCAUAAGCCAGCUUGACUGCGAGAGUGACGGCUCGAGCAGGUACGAAAGUAGGUCUUAGUGAUCCGGUGGUUCUGAAUGGAAGGGCCAUCGCUCAACGGAUAAAAGGAAUCACUAGUGAAUUC